This 95-nucleotide transfer RNA is filed under the name Actinomadura cremea. Its description in RNAcentral is "tRNA-Ser". The record is from RNAcentral. Lineage: Bacteria; Bacillati; Actinomycetota; Actinomycetes; Streptosporangiales; Thermomonosporaceae.
GCUCGGGUCGCCGACGGCGGCCGGGCUGCCGCUGCUGUCGGCGAUCGUCGGGAUCGGCGUCGGGCUGUCGGCGAUCGUCGCGGCGUCGGGGUUCC